CCUACGGGUGGCAGCAGUGGGGAAUAUUGCACAAUGGGGGAAACCCUGAUGCAGCGACGCCGCGUGAGCGAAGAAGUAUUUCGGUAUGUAAAGCUCUAUCAGCAGGGAAGAAAAUGACGGUACCUGACUAAGAAGCCCCGGCUAACUACGUGCCAGCAGCCGCGGUAAUACGUAGGGGGCAAGCGUUAUCCGGAUUUACUGGGUGUAAAGGGAGCGUAGACGGCGGUGCAAGUCGGGAGUGAAAGGCCGGGGCUCAACCCCGGGACUGCGUUUGAAACUGUGCUGCUGGAGUGUAGGAGAGGCAGGCGGAAUGCCUAGUGUAGCGGUGAAAUGCGUAGAUAUUAGGAGGAACACCAGUGGCGAAGGCGGCCUACUGGACUGUAACUGACGUUGAGGCUCGAAAGCGUGGGGAGCAAACAGGAUUAGAUACCCUUGUAGUC
RNAcentral lists this ribosomal RNA (440 nucleotides) under uncultured bacterium. RNAcentral describes it as "partial 16S ribosomal RNA". It matches the Rfam family "Bacterial small subunit ribosomal RNA", at positions 338 to 795 of the family's 1533-position model. The record is from RNAcentral.